UUAAUUGAAACCAAAUUAGAGGUUUAUCACUGUUAAUGAUAACAAUGGGACAAGAUCCCCAAUUAAG
RNAcentral lists this transfer RNA (67 nucleotides) under Clytra quadripunctata. Its description in RNAcentral is "tRNA-Asn". The record is from RNAcentral. Lineage: Eukaryota; Metazoa; Arthropoda; Insecta; Coleoptera; Chrysomelidae.